CAGAGUUUGAUCCUGGCUCAGGAUGAACGCUGGCGGCGUGCCUAACACAUGCGAGUCGAACGGGGAUAGCAAUAUUCCAGUGGCGCACGGGUGAGUAACACGUAGCUAACCUGCCCUGAAGAGAGGGAUAACGUUCCGAAAGGAAUGCUAAGACCACAUACGCUCGUCGGUUGCAGAGACCGGUGAGGAAAGUCGCAAGACGCUUCAGGAGGGGGCUGCGGCCCAUCAGGUAGUUGGUGGGGUAAACGCCUACCAAGCCGACGACGGGUAGGGGGCCUGAGAGGGUGGUCCCCCACACUGGGACUGAGACACGGCCCAGACUCCUACGGGAGGCAGCAGUGAGGGAUAUUGGUCAAUGGGGGAAACCCUGAACCAGCGACGCCGCGUGGGUGAAGAAGGUCUUCGGAUCGUAAAACCCUUUUCUGCGUGAAGAGGAAAGGACGGUAGCGCAGGAAGAAGUCUCGGCUAACUACGUGCCAGCAGCCCCGGUCAA
This 493-nucleotide ribosomal RNA is filed under the name uncultured bacterium. Its description in RNAcentral is "bacterial SSU rRNA". It matches the Rfam family "Bacterial small subunit ribosomal RNA", at positions 8 to 524 of the family's 1533-position model. The record is from RNAcentral.